Molecule: ribosomal RNA, 492 nt
Filed under: uncultured bacterium
Lineage: Bacteria
Description: bacterial SSU rRNA
Rfam family: Bacterial small subunit ribosomal RNA
Source: RNAcentral
AGUGAACGCUGGCGGCAGGCCUAAUACAUGCAAGUCGAACGGCAGCACAGCAGAGCUUGCUCUGUGGGUGGCGAGUGGCGGACGGGUGAGGAAUACAUGGGAAUCUGCCCAGUCGUGGGGGAUAACGUAUGGAAACGUACGCUAAUACCGCAUGCGCCCUACGGGGGAAAGUCGGGGACCGCAAGGCCUGACGCGAUUGGAUGAGCCCAUGUUCGAUUAGCUAGUUGGCGGGGUAAAGGCCCACCAAGGCGACGAUCGAUAGCUGGUCUGAGAGGAUGAUCAGCCACACUGGAACUGAGACACGGUCCAGACUCCUACGGGAGGCAGCAGUAGGGAAUAUUGGACAAUGGGGGCAACCCUGAUCCAGCCAUGCCGCGUGAGUGAAGAAGGCCCUCGGGUUGUAAAGCUCUUUUGUCCGGAAAGAAAAGCAAUCGGUUAAUGCCCGGUUGUUCUGACGGUACCGGAAGAAUAAGCACCGGCUAACUUCGUGCC